GAAUGGAAUCUCCUGUGUCGAUAUAUAAUAUAUUCUUCGUCUAUAUUCUUCUGUGUCCAGUCGUCGAGUGUCAUGUGGUGUUCCAUAAAUAUUUGUGAAUAUAGACUAAUUGGGGUCAGAAGCUUUUGAUGUAUGCUUUCAUGGACAUGAGACUGCUCUCCAUAUUACAAUGUGAGGCUAUACUACCUGAAAAUUUCAGGAAUAGAACCUCGGACAAUUAUUGGAGAAAGAGUUUACACUUGAGUGAUUCCGCUUCCUAUCACAGGCAGAAAAAAGGCUGCUUCCACACAAAAGAAGUGAGGAAAAGUAUAAGAGAGCAGUCA
This is a long non-coding RNA of Nilaparvata lugens (brown planthopper), 323 nucleotides long. RefSeq lists it as uncharacterized. The transcript is spliced from 3 exons. Lineage: Eukaryota; Metazoa; Arthropoda; Insecta; Hemiptera; Delphacidae. The record is from RefSeq and is a predicted model, not a curated record.